UACAGGAAAGAAUAAACAAUCCAGAAAAAGAGAAUGAACUCUUGAACAAAAACUAUGAUAAGCUGCAUAAGUGUCUUCUGUAUGACCCAUGAACAGCAAUGGAAAUCAAAGGAACAGCAAAUGAAACUGCAAAUUGCUAAACUAGAGAUGGCUAUCAAAUCUGAUUUAGCAGACAAAAAUGCAAUUCUUGACAAGAUCAAAGUAGAAAGAGUUGACAACUUCUCAUUGUUUCCUGUGCUGCAUAAGCAAUACCAUUGUUUAAGGACAUAAUGAAGAUGGGCCGUAACUCUUCAGGUUUUGAACUUUAGUAAGUUUUACUGUUCAAGGGGUGUUAUAAAGACUGUGAGUUUAUCCUUUUAUGUAGCAUAUGGGACAGGAGGUCAAACAAGAAAAGCUAGCAGAUGAUAAGGUGGAGAUGGCUGAGGAAAUUUAACAGGAGACAGAAAAGCUCUCACUUCUGUCAGAGGAGCAGUUAGCUGACCAAACAUCAAUUGCUUCUGGAAAUGAGAGAGAAAUAACUGAAGAAUUGGAACCAGAAGGUAGAAUUUGUCUUUAUGAAUAAGUAACUGUAUUUUGUUAAUAAAUCUAUGUCUCUUUCCAUUUUCUUAAGCAUUUCUUACAAGCAGUGGGAGCUGCCUCAUUAUGAGAAGCUCCAUGACAGAAAUUAUAUUCUGGUGUACUCUAUAGCUGAAGCUGGGAAGUGGAUAUGGUGGUGCUACUUUCUUCCCAAAUGGAAACUGUAUCGUAAUUGAAUGCAAAAAUCAGGUAUCUGACCUAGAUUCAUAAAAUAUUAAAGGAAACCUGGCUUCUAUUUUAAAUGUCUUUAUAUUUUCUCUUAGAACUAUGCUGUUCUAAAGACUAUUUUAAUUAAUAUGCUCCUUUUUUUCUGCAGAUAACAGCCAAUGCUGCUAUUGGAAAUCCUUUCAGACAGAGAGUGGGGUAGUAUGUCUUAUCAUAUUUGUGACUUAAAGUUGUUAGAGGCAGAUUUAUUUAAAGAUUCUAAAAGGCAGGUCAUCCUGUUCCACCUCUGAGCUUAAACUGUUCAUCAUUGAAAUAAACCAAGUCACGAUACCAAGUUUACAGUAAAAGCACAAACAGAAUGCUAAAAUUUCAUGUUCAUUUUUUUGUGCUUCUGCAUAAGAAUGCAUUAGAAAAAUUGGAAAAACACGAUGUUGAAUCCCUGUUGUGUUUAUAAGUAAUUUGCUUCAGAGAAUAAAAACUGAACAUGCAUUGAAAUAAUUCAUCUGCGUACAGAACUAUUUUUUUAUUUUUAAAAAAUGAUAAAUUAUUCUUUAUGUGUUCAUGGUGUUAAACAUAAUCAGAGGAAAUCCACAAAUUCAGGCCAUAUUCCUCUAUAAAGCUAACAGUUGUUUCUACCUCAAUUCAUCACUGGACUUAUAUCAUUCCAGUCCUCAACUUUCAUCUGGCAAACACUACUUUUUUAUUUUUACAAAUCAGAAAAAAAAUACAGUUUAGAUGAAUAUAAAGAUCAUUGAUUUGCAGGAUUAAUCAUCUGCAAGGAAGAGAUGAUUUGCCUGGCACUUAUUCUUCAUUUUUUAGUAAAGCACCUAUAUUGCUAUCAGGUUCCUCAGCAAAACUCAGAUGGACUACAGUAAAGGGGUUUAACCACCUUGAUUCUUCCAGUGUUUUUCAGAUCAAGGUGCUCUUGAAGCAAUAAAAUCUGACAGAAAUUACUAUAUUAUUUCAAUUCCAUUAUCCAGUAAUAUUAAACAGCUGAGUCAUUGCUCAUGGCAAUUAUUUGGCCAGACUUUAAAAAAGCCUUUAUAAAACCUAAAAGUUUUUUUAGGUUUAAAAAAGAUUUUAAACCUAAUGCUGUCUAAGAGUAGCUUUGCUGUAUCUAACAUAAAUUUUCAGUAAAGUUAUAUAUGUACAGUAUCAGAUCGCUUCAGUAUACUUCUUUUUCUAAUAUUAUUUGUGGGCAAGUGCACUAACCAUUUUCUCUUGACUUAUUCUUAAAACCAGAAAUUAAUUACCACAAAGACAUAUAUAAAAAAAUAAGAUUACAUUUAUACAAAUUUGGAAAAUUUUCUUUGAAUGGUAUUUCAGUAGGAUAGUUCUGAAAAAAAAAAAAACAAAACAAGAAUAUUUCAUACUUUUUGAUCUAACUUUGACUGAACAAUGUUAAAAAAUAUAAAACUAGUAUGUAAAAUUGAUGACUUCUAGUACUUCUAAAAGUUAAUACUUCUCUGAUCUGUUUUAGCCUUCUUUUAAAGGACCAGGGCUGUACUGUUAGAUCCUAUCAGACUUCAUGGUUUUUAAUGUUCUGCAGUGUGAUAUCCUAGAGGUAGCUUGAUUUUUUUUUAAAUGCUCUUUUCAAGGCUGUAAGACAUCCUACAAAGCAACUAGCAGCAAGAAGCAAUUCUUUGUGUGAGAAAUAUAGCUGUUCAUUUUCUUAAGAUAUAGAAGAGGUUUCUUCAGAAAGAUGCAGAAGCAAAAAAAGAACAAUGUCAAGGGCUCAUGGUUCUCCUGGUGAAGGGCUAAGGAAGUUGAACAAUGUGGAUUAAAGUUACAUCACUUGGUUUUAUGAAGUCAUGAAUUACAUCAAAUGAAACAAUACAGCAGCUGAGUGUAGAAUACAAAUGAAACAAUUUCCCUGCAGAGGACACUGCACUGCCACUUCCAAACCCAACAGGUGGUCAGAGGAGUGACUGUAACUACAGAACUGUGCUCAGUGAUACCCCAGAAGAUGAGCAGAACUUGAAUGUGAAGAUACUGAUUUUGCUGAAUCUGUUUGAAAAAGAUAUUCCAGAAUCAAAGAAAUACCCUUGAACAAGACAUUGGUGUUUUUGAUUCACAGGAUGACAGUGCAGUAAUUGGAAAGCUCAAAGGAGCAGUGGAAGCCCUCCAUGCGCUGCCCUCAGUCGAGAGGGGAAUGCAAAGAUGACUAUGAGGCAUGAAAGGAAGUUUGCCUACAGAAGAACCUUCUCCCAGUGUAAAUACAUGCUUGAUAGUGCAUCAAAGAUGAGAUCUUUGUAAUUCCUGCAGUAUAUUUAAUGUAUAAUUUAUAUGAAAAGGAUGCUUGAUUUGUAGUUGUAAAGUUUUGUAUACUUUUCAGUCUGUUUGUUUUUAUAUUUCCCCCCUAAGGCUAAGAAUAUCUCCACAAUGGACAACGUCUUUUAAAUAAUUAAUACCUACAUGAUUGAACUACGUGCUUUAUUUGCAUUUUUAAGAUUUUUUUCCUACAUAAAACAGUAAUAAAAAUGCAAGUCAAAAUUUUAAUUUUUAAUAAAAAAACCAUAAGCCUUAGAAAACUGAUUAAAAAUACUUUUAUGUUAUCCCUAAUCACCCCGUUAAAUGGAAUGCCUGUGAUUAGCCUCAUUAAGAAUUUUAUACUGUGAAGAUUUUAUUAAAAGCAAUAUAUGAAAAUUACUUGGAUUAAUGUGUUAAUCUGCCUCUUUAAAAUGCUAAUAUCCAUUUUAUGCACAUUAAAUCUCAGUAUGUGUUUUCUUUGAUGCAUGCAGUUCCUAUCAAUUAAAUAUAAAAAAUUAGGCUAGUUGCAGGACUUAUUAAAUUACUGCACCCCUUUUUUUAAUAACUUUUACCCUUCUACUAACAUUAUAAUCAGCUGUUUAUGGUUACCAUAAUUUGAAGUUAGGGGGAGGGCAUGCGCAAUCAUUUUCUGUACAGUAGAUGAUUUACUUGCAGCCAACAUCUGUCAAAGCACAAAAAGAAGCCACAGAGUAUCAGAUUUUGCUUCACCUACUUUGGGAUUUGGGGAUGUGCAACUGUUUUGAUUUGGGUUUUGUCACUUUUAGAACUUACAUCAAACAUAUACAAUAAACUGUUGUAUCAGAAUUACUACUGUCUAGUGCGGAAAGUUAAUUUUACAGCUUUUAACCAAUCUCAGUGAAGGAUUUAAUUGAUAUUUUUAAUGGAGCUGUGAAUCAAUGCUGCAAAAGGAUUGUCUCUUGAGAACGAGGAUAUAAUACAUUUCAUUUUUUAAUUUACUUUUUUAUUUGUCAUUUUCUUCAAAGGAUGUUAUAGACUGUGGAUUUCCACUGUUUGCAAACAGGCUAUGUUUCUUCAUAAGCAUAUGUAAAGUAUUCAGAGAGAUAAGUAAUUUAUUAAAAUCUACCUAAUUUGCCGUGAUAUAUUAAAUCUCUGCUUCAGUGAUCACAGACCAUUUCAUUUAGAGAAUUAGGCAUUCCCUCUUUGUGUGAUUAAAGCUCUGGAAAAUGAGUUCUUUGCUCCUAUUUGUGAACAUUCAAAGCCUGCUAAUGGCAAGAAGAUGGAAUAGAUUAUGAGACAAUUCAUUACAGUUCAACAGAAAAAAAAACUGCUAUAAUGCAGAAAUGCAAGUAUGAAUAUCUGCAUAUAGUUUGAACCAUCUGUGCUCUAAUGGCUUCAGUAAUGGCUCUUCGUCUUCAGUAGGCUUUGAAAUGACAUCCAUACAAUAUUAAUUUGUUGAUGUACAUUAUGAGGCCAAUGGAAUGAAUAUAUUCUGACCACAGAAAUCUCUGAAUUCCAGCAUGGUCUGCUGGUUGACUCCAUUUUAGGACUUACCAUCUUCAGUAGGGCUUCUCAUCCAGACUUUGCCAAUCCUCACAGCGUUUCAUUCCUCUGGAACUUUAGGAGACCACAGACAGCUGCAUUCCUAAACCCCUCCAUUCUUCAGUUAAUGGCCAUAUGUUUGUUGUCAUUUGGGCUGGCACUUAGUUCAUCAUUUUGGCCACUAUUUCUAGCUUUUUUUGGCUCUGUGCAUCCAUAUUGUCAAUAAGACUGUUAUUAUACAUUACAAUAAUUUGAAACAGCCAGAUUCAACACUGAGAUUAACUGAGUGGCUUUUUAGAAAUUUAGUUGUGGUAUUCUGUCAGGAGGUUCUUAUUAUUCUUCUAAUACUUUGCAAACCAAACUAAAUAUCCUGCACAUAAACAAAGAAGCGAAUUGUAUUGAGUUUUUGUGUGUGACUGUUUACUGACUUGCAGGAGAACUAUGUUAACUGGUGCUUGUUUUCUUCUGAAAUAAACCAUGUGGUAAAAUUAGAAAAUCAGUGAUGUUCAUCUCACUUAAACAUUUACAGUAACACCCUUAACACUUAAUCUUCGCCAUCUGAAGUUGGAAACUUAGAAACCAAGAGUUCAUAUAUUCAUUAAACACAGAUCUCUUCAGUAAGUUACUGAAAAAUAUUCCAGUUGACAUUUGGUUACAUUGUGUUAACUGCUCUCAGUGACUCCAACAUUAACAUGUAUAAUUUGCCUCAGGUUCCUAGACAUAUUUCUUUGUAAGGCUCACUGUUACUCAGUUUCAGAUUUUAAGAAAAUAAUCCUGAUUUCUAUUCAUGUUUAUUGCUAAAACAGAUAUAAUAUUCAGCAAGGAUUUUCCCAACAGAUGGAUUGUAUUAUCUUAUGCAACAUAAACAUAUGAUCAUAGCAGAAAGUCUUGUUCUUGCAUUAAGUAGUCUGUAUUUCCAAAAAGCUCUUAAAUCUUAAUUCUAAAUGCUGCAUUGUGCAGGGAAAGUGGAAGAUGUAACCUAGUACUAUUUUGACUAGAUUUUAGCAAUUAAUAGCUUGAAUAAAACAUGCAUCUAUGUAAUCUCUAGGCUAAGGUACAAAGGAGCCAUAUUAAAACUGGGUACUACCAUGCUUUAAAGUGUUACUCAAUAAAAUUCAUUUUUGUGGCAUAGAUGAGUUUUUACUAUGGCGUAAGUUGGUCACCACAGGGGUUCUGCACAAGAUGAAAUGACAGUGUCAAAUGAUCAGUUUUGUUAUUAUAUCUUUUCACAUUUAUUGUUACAGCUUAUAGCUUUAUGAUGAUAUCUUCUGAUGUGAUAUGAUAACUGCUAUUCUCCAGGUUCCCAGGAAUGUUGAUCAAGAUGGAAAGUUUUUUAGCUCAAAUAAACUUUAUCUGUUUUAAAUGUUGCUUUUAACCUUUUAUAACCUUAACCUAGGAACAGAAGUUAUACGAGUAAAUAAAUCAUGAACCAGGUAACAGCUCUGUGAAGUCAAUCAGUCUUGCCGUAGAGUAAGUCAAAGCUUAUCUCGUUAUAUAAGAGGAGAUAUAACAUGAUAAAAUGUAUUAGUUUCAUAGAUCAAUAUUAAAGUUAAUAGUACUAUUGUUUUAAAAUGCUUUUUAUUAUUUCAAGGCAUAGUGAGACAUUAUCAUAGUUCAAGAAGUCUUCAAACAUAUCAAGACUAAAUAUUAGCUGCUAAAUUUGAUUUGAUUGUUUUGUGUUGGAACUGAGAAAUAAUUAAAAUACAGGUUUAAAAUUGUACUACAAACCAUAUUUCAUAUUUCAGAGCCAGAGAAGUAUUACAUGUUUUAAUUACAGACAGGUCUUUCUGCAGGUAAUAACAGUGACUUGUCCAUCAGUUUUUUGAGAUACUGCAAAAGAUAAUAUUUUUAUACAACUUCACCUAUGUCACUGUUUAUGUUAUAGCUCUUAGCAAUUUGACUAGAUCCUGCAACUGAUACUGGAAGAAAUUGUAUUAAAUUAAUUGCAGAAUAUGAGUUCAGGUUAGUACCUUAGUAUGCACAUGAUAAAAAUUUGCUUUUGGCACAGUAAGCCAGAUGUGUACUGGUUUUUUGCUUUUCGUUUCUUUUUGGUAUUUAUGACAAAUUUUAAUUCUUUUUCCAUCUUUUAAAAUGGGACGAGGCAACUUCUGAGGAGCUUGAAUAAUUCAUCUGUGGGUUUUAGAAGAAUUUUAAAAGUUUUUUUUUUUAUUUUUAAGGUCCUUGUUGAAUCAUACUUCAAGCUUUCAGCAUCUGGCAGCAUCAAAGUCUAACUCCUAGCAAAAUUUCAUCUCCAACAAGAGCUGCUUGUAAAUGAUCAGCAUUUUUCUAGUAUAUACACCAGAUAUUUCUUCAGCACGGUACUUGGAGUAGAAAAUGGGAAUUUAAAAACAAAACUUUGCAUUUUACAGAAUUGAUACAGCCCACACAGUAAACUUAGAAACAAUCAAGAAGAAUUGAAGACAGCCACUUGUGAGGAAGGUGGAGGCUGAGAAAUAUCAGUUCUUCAAGCAGUUGCUAAGUCUCAUGGACAGCAAUAGCUGCCUACUGAGGGCAAAUUUCAGUCCUGACUGCCAGCACCCCAGGGGCACUGAGGUGCACGAGGGUCGUGCCCAGCGAGAGAAUGCCCAGUGAUCGUGGGAGCAGGUGAUGGACCCCUCUGGGAACCCGAGUGCCAGAACUACUGUCUGCUCCUUUUCUUGGGGAUAUGGAGCCUGAAUGGGAGUGUGCCUGUUUCCUGACUGCUUGUGAGAAGUAGGAAAUGCAAAGGAAAGAAACAACUGCAAAAUGAUAACAAGCAGCUCUAGCAGGUACUGCAACAGGAUGGUCAAUCUUACUACACUUGAGAAUCAAUUCUGGCCCCACAAAAGCAGGGGAUGAAGCCUGUGUCCCCAAAGAACUACCUGACAUUUGCAUACCCCUAGAAGCAGGCUUGCAAAGUCAGUCAACUUUUUAAACAGCCCAGGAGCCAUGACGAGCUCACUAGAGUUGGAGGGCUCUCAUCCUGGAAAAUGUAAGUUAAAGACACUUUAAGUCUUUUUUUAUCAGGCUACAGUUAUUCUGAGCAUGUCAACUCUUGAAUGCUGAAGUUUCCUUGCACAGUUAAAGCACAGCACAAGAAUCAGCUCAGGCUAUGCAGAACCUUGCAAAGCUGAUCUCUUUGAAAUAUGUCCAAAUAGAUACUCAAAUCACUAUUACAACAUAAAUCAAAAAUGCUUUCCACAUUUUACAGCGUACUUCAUGUGACAAGAACAUUUCCUCUCAGUUGUGAUUCUUUUUCAAAGAGUGGAAAUCUUCAACUUGAUGAUACUUGAUGGCAAAAGAAUGUUCACUGAAGUGUGGCAUAACACUGUGGCUUGUUCACAUUCAAAUUUAAAGUAAUAAAAAAUAUGAAGGAGUGGAGGAAAGAGAUCUAUUUAUCACAUGGUUUAUCCACUAAAGCAAUUUCAACGUGUAAGCCCAAAUUUAUUCAUGAUGUUAGUGCCGUUGCAGCACAGGAGAUUUUAUCCCUGCUGCUUUUCUUCCAUGGGUGUUGCUGUCAAAGCUUCCCAGUCACCUUGGUUAAUUCAUUCCGUGUGCCAGAAGUAAUUAUCCAAACUUGCAUGCUGCCUGCCAUGCUGGGGAGCUUUGGAGUGUGUGCUAUGAUGUCAUAAGGCAGUCAUUAAUGUGACAGAGGCUACCUGGAGGCCCAUGCCAGUGAAUCACAUUCCCAUAUGAAAGGUAUUGAUUUAAUCAUUCUGAUAGCAGCCCUGUCAGAAAUGUAAUUGUCCAUUGGAAGUACAGACGCAUAAAUGGACAUCCCAGCAAAAGGCAGCAAUCUUUCUAAGUUACAUUUUACAUUUAUUCAGAUCAUUCCGCUUGUUUUCCUCCUCCUCGUGCCCCCAGCCCGAGUCUGUUAUUGAUAUAAAGGUUGAAGCUCAGGCAGCUUAACUGUUAUGUGGAGUGACCUUUACUUUUAAUAUUAAUAUAGUAUUGUAAAGUCUAUGAGACUCAUAAAUGCAAUUUUAGAAUUCAUAUGAAAUGCCAUGUGCUGAACCUAUUGCAACUUUUCCUCUAGUCCUGUGGCAGGUUGCAAACUAUGCGAAUUAAUAUGCAUCAUAUUCUUUCCCCUUUAUUUACUUAGAGAGGUUUGCAGAGCAACUUUAUCAAGAGUAACAUUAUCAAGAGCUUUCCUGCAAGCUUCUUUAUCAUAUUCACAUCCGUGUCUGCUCGACACUUGUCACUGUCAAUCAAAUGGCAAUAAUACGCAGAUGAUUUGCUCAUUUGGUUUAAUAAAAUCUCUCUGCUUAUUUGCACUGCA
Molecule: non-coding RNA, 8770 nt
Organism: Taeniopygia guttata (zebra finch)
Lineage: Eukaryota; Metazoa; Chordata; Aves; Passeriformes; Estrildidae
Source: RefSeq, a predicted model, not a curated record